UACGGAGGGGCUAGCGUUGUUCGGAAUUACUGGGCGUAAAGCGCACGUAGGCGGAUCAGCCAGUCAGGGGUGAAAUCCCGGGGCUCAACCCCGGAACUGCCCUUGAUACUGCUGGUCUGGAGUUCGAGAGAGGCGAGUGGAAUUCCGAGUGUAGAGGUGAAAUUCGUAGAUAUUCGGAGGAACACCAGUGGCGAAGGCGGCACGCUGGCUCGACACUGACGCUGAGGUGCGAAAGCGUGGGGAGCAAACAGGAUUAGAUACCCCGGUAGUCCCU
RNAcentral lists this ribosomal RNA (274 nucleotides) under uncultured prokaryote. RNAcentral describes it as "partial 16S ribosomal RNA". It matches the Rfam family "Bacterial small subunit ribosomal RNA", at positions 524 to 798 of the family's 1533-position model. The record is from RNAcentral.